GCCAAACGGGCCCUACGGUUUUGGAUGCUUCUUGUACAUGCCUGACUAACAACGAAAUCCACUUCAAGAAUAUUAGGUUUAAGUCUUCAACAAAUAGAGGGCUUAGUUCUGCAACACUCUACAGCUCCAAGCAGUAUAAUCUCAAUGCUGUGACACUUACCGAAUCAGCUAUAUGCUUCUCAGCCCAUUGCAGGGAAACUUCUCAGGGAGGAAUUUAGGCUCGUUGCAAGAAAAAGGCCUACAUCACAUAUAGUGGACACGUGAUCAUGGCCAGUGAGGUUAGUGUUGUAGACAUUUGCUAGAAGAUGUGGCUAGGAAAGGAAGACAUGAUCGGUCUAGAAGGGGACCGUACUAAAACAAUUCAAGUGAAAGGCUAGGAAAGGAAGACAUUUAUAGUUUGUUUUGAAAACUUUAAAUAGACCAUUAAUUGUUUUAUUGAUAUUGUGCUAAUUGUUGUCUUGAUGAAUGUUAGAUUAUUGGGUAAUUCAAAUUCUUGUCAUUCAAUCAUAAGUUUUUGAUAGUUAUGCAGAUAGAAAUUUGAUAGU
This is a long non-coding RNA of Magnolia sinica, 545 nucleotides long. RefSeq lists it as uncharacterized. The transcript is spliced from 3 exons. NCBI's taxonomy places the organism in Eukaryota, Viridiplantae, Streptophyta, Magnoliopsida, Magnoliales, Magnoliaceae. The record is from RefSeq and is a predicted model, not a curated record.